This is a long non-coding RNA of Carassius auratus (goldfish), 200 nucleotides long. RefSeq lists it as uncharacterized. The record is from RefSeq and is a predicted model, not a curated record. The transcript is spliced from 3 exons. NCBI's taxonomy places the organism in Eukaryota, Metazoa, Chordata, Actinopteri, Cypriniformes, Cyprinidae.
GCCUGAACCGACCGUGUCACAAGUUGCCUUACAUCGCAAACAAAAAGAUGCAAGACUGCAAACUUUCCAGUUCUCCUGUGUACUGAUAAUCCGGUUUCCACCCAGUCCCAGGAUAUUAUAUUAAACCUGGAAAAUACUGGAGAAGAUCAAUUAAGUUUUCAGGAGCACAUUACUGUGAUAAAUGCUGAACUAUGUAAAGA